GAGUUAGCGAUGAUUAUAUAAAUAAUUUCUCGUUCUGACUUGAUUAAUUUAAACAUGACUAACCUCUUAUUACAACCAUAGAAUCUGAGCUCC
Small nucleolar RNA from Theobroma cacao (cacao), 93 nucleotides. It matches the Rfam family "Small nucleolar RNA snoR8a". The record is from Rfam. NCBI's taxonomy places the organism in Eukaryota, Viridiplantae, Streptophyta, Magnoliopsida, Malvales, Malvaceae.